CCGACCAAGAGAUGAAGCCGACCAAGAGAUGAAACCGACCAAGAGAUGAAACCGACCAAGUCGCCUGAAUCGGAGUUAGCUAUGUCUGCGUGGCCAAUGAAUGAACGACCAAGUCGGACAGGAAGCACCAAGAAGCAAGCGUCCUUAUCGAUCACACUUGCAACUUUAGUUAAGCAUAACGUUCAACAAAAUUU
This is a long non-coding RNA of Xenia sp. Carnegie-2017, 194 nucleotides long. RefSeq lists it as uncharacterized. The transcript is spliced from 2 exons. Lineage: Eukaryota; Metazoa; Cnidaria; Anthozoa; Malacalcyonacea; Xeniidae. The record is from RefSeq and is a predicted model, not a curated record.